GGAGGGACCAGAGUGACUUGCCGAAAGCCAGCAGCUCCAAACAGGCGCAGCUGGGAUCUGAACACGGGGCCCGCCACGGAAACGUCGACUUCUGGGGAACUACCUGUUCUUCAUCUCAGUCUCUGCCGUUCAAGAGGGGUUGGCUCCAGGGCGGUCCAGGUUGAGGAUGGAGGUGGAGGCUGGGUUCCGGCUUUCUGGACUGUGAGGUCGGUCCCAGCCACAGCUGGGGCAGCCUCUGUUGAGGAGUAUGCGUGGCAAGGAGCUCUCAGCUUGCUCCCUGGGGUGGAAGUGACCAUGCUGGUCGUCCUUUGGAAUUUGUAGCAUGGAGGGGAUGAGGGACCAAGUUCAUAGGGACCCCCUCUCUACACUAGGUCCAAGCCCUGUCCCUGGAGUCAGUCACCACUGUCUAUUCUGGACCUAACAGAAGCAGAAGAUAUAUAAGAAGAGGUGGAAAGAAUACACAGAAGAACUGUACAAAAAAGAUCUUCAUGACCCAGAUAACCAUGAUGGUGUGAUCACUCACCUAGAGCUAGACAUCUUGGAGGGUGAAGUCAAGUGGGCCUUAGGAAGCAUCACCAAGAACAAAGCUAGUGGAGGUGAUGGAAUUCCAGUUGAGCUAUUUCAAAUCCUUGAGAUUGCUGUGAAAGCGCUGCACUCAAUAUACCAGCAAAUUUGGAAAACCCAGCAGUGGCCACAGGACUGGAAAAGGUCAGUUUUCCUUCCAAUCCCAAAGAAAGGUAAUGCCAAAGAAUGCUCAAACUACCGCACAGUUGCACUCAUUUCACACGCUAGCAAGGACAUGCUCAAAAUCUUUCAAGCUAGCCUUCAUCAGUACCUGAACCGAGAACUUCCAGAUGUUCAAGUUGGAUUUAGAAAUGGCAGAGGAACCAGAGAUCAAAUUGCCAGCAUCAGUUGGAUCAUAGAAAAAGCAAGAGCAUUCCUAGAAAAACAUCUACUUCUGCUUUAUUGACUAUACCAAAGCCUUUGACUGUGUGGAUCACAACAAACUGGAAAAUUCUUAAAGAGAUGGGAAUACCAGACCACCUGACCUGCCUCCUGAGAAAUGUGUAUGCAGGUCAAGAAGCAAGAGUUAGAACUGGACAUGGAACAACAGACUGGUUCAAAUUGCGAAAGGAGUACGUCAAGGCUGUGUAUUAUCACCCUGCUUACUUAGCUUAUAUGCAGAGUGCAUCAUGAGAAACGCUGGGCUGGAUGAAGCACAAGCUGGAAUCAAGAUUGGCGGGAGAAAUAUCAAUAACCUCAGAUACGCAGAUGACACCACCCUUAUGGCAGAAAGUGAGGAGGAACUAAAGAGCCUCUUGAUGAAGGUGAAAGAGGAGAGUGAAAAAGCUGGCUUAAAACUCAACUUUCAAAAGACAAAUAUCAUGGUAUCCGGUCCCAUCACCUCAUGGCAAAUAGAUGGGGAAACAACGGAAACAG
This is a long non-coding RNA of Bos taurus (domestic cattle), 1440 nucleotides long. The record is from Ensembl. NCBI's taxonomy places the organism in Eukaryota, Metazoa, Chordata, Mammalia, Artiodactyla, Bovidae.